UACGGAGGAUCCAAGCGUUAUCCGGAAUUAUUGGGCUUAAAGGGUCCGUAGGCGGGUUUAUAAGUCAGUGGUGAAAGUCUGCAGCUUAACUGUAGAACUGCAAUUGAUACUGUAGAUCUUGAAUUAUUAUGAAGUGGUUAGAAUAUGUAGUGUAGCGGUGAAAUGCAUAGAUAUUACAUAGAAUACCGAUUGCGAAGGCAGAUCACUAAUAAUGUACUGACGCUGAGGGACGAAAGCGUAGGUAGCGAGGAUG
Molecule: unclassified non-coding RNA, 253 nt
Filed under: uncultured Flavobacteriaceae bacterium
Lineage: Bacteria; Pseudomonadati; Bacteroidota; Flavobacteriia; Flavobacteriales; Flavobacteriaceae
Description: contains 16S-23S intergenic spacer region
Rfam family: Bacterial small subunit ribosomal RNA
Source: RNAcentral